RNAcentral lists this ribosomal RNA (465 nucleotides) under uncultured bacterium. Its description in RNAcentral is "partial 16S ribosomal RNA". It matches the Rfam family "Bacterial small subunit ribosomal RNA", at positions 28 to 507 of the family's 1533-position model. The record is from RNAcentral.
GACGAACGCUGGCGGCGUGCUUAACACAUGCAAGUCGUACGGUAAGGCCCUUUCGGGGGUACACGAGUGGCGAACGGGUGAGUAACACGUGAGUAACCUGCCCACAACUUUGGGAUAACGCUAGGAAACUGGUGCUAAUACUGGAUAUGUGCUCCUGCUGCAUGGUGGGGGUUGGAAAGCUCCGGCGGUUGUGGAUGGACUCGCGGCCUAUCAGCUUGUUGGUGGGGUAGUGGCCUACCAAGGCGGCGACGGGUAGCCGGCCUGAGAGGGUGACCGGCCACAUUGGGACUGAGAUACGGCCCAGACUCCUACGGGAGGCAGCAGUGGGGAAUAUUGCACAAUGGGCGCAAGCCUGAUGCAGCAACGCCGCGUGCGGGAUGACGGCCUUCGGGUUGUAAACCGCUAUCAGCAGGGACGAAGCUUUUUGUGACGGUACCUGCAGAAGAAGCACCGGCUAACUACGUG